UACGUAGGUGACCAGCGUUGUCCGGAUUUACUGGGCGUAAAGAGCGCGCAGGCGGUCGUCCAAGUCGAGUGUGAAAGCCCCCGGCUCAACUGGGGAGGGUCACUCGAUACUGAUCGACUUGAAGGCAGGAGAGGGAAGCGGAAUUCCCGGUGUAGUGGUGAAAUGCGUAGAUAUCGGGAGGAACACCAGUGGCGAAGGCGGCUUCCUGGCCUGUUCUUGACGCUGAGGCGCGAAAGCUAGGGGAGCAAACGGG
This 253-nucleotide ribosomal RNA is filed under the name uncultured bacterium. Its description in RNAcentral is "partial 16S ribosomal RNA". It matches the Rfam family "Bacterial small subunit ribosomal RNA", at positions 524 to 776 of the family's 1533-position model. The record is from RNAcentral.